Molecule: unclassified non-coding RNA, 186 nt
Filed under: uncultured fungus
Lineage: Eukaryota; Fungi
Description: partial contains 18S rRNA, ITS1, 5.8S rRNA, ITS2 and 28S rRNA
Source: RNAcentral
AAGGAUCAUUAUAAAAUUUUUCUACAUAUUUGUAAAAAAUUUAUAUACAAAACUUGUAUUCAAAACCCACACUCUUUUAAACCCAUAUAAAAAAAUUUAUGUUCAUAUACAUAAUUUUUUUAUAAUAUAUUAUUUAUAUAAUAAAUAAUAAAAAGACAACUUUCAACAACGGAUCUCUUGGCUCUC